ACGAACGCUGGCGGCGUGCCUAAUACAUGCAAGUCGAACGAACCGCGACUGAGUGCUUGCACUUGGUCAAGGUGAGUGGCGAACGGGUGAGUAACACGUGGGUAACCUACCUCAUAGUGGGGGAUAACAGUCGGAAACGACUGCUAAUACCGCAUAGGACAUAGGAUCACAUGAUCCAGUGAGGAAAGGUGGCGCAAGCUAUCACUAAGAGAUGGACCCGCGGUGCAUUAGCUAGUUGGUAGGGUAAAGGCCUACCAAGGCGAUGAUGCAUAGCCGACCUGAGAGGGUGAUCGGCCACAUUGGGACUGAGACACGGCCCAAACUCCUACGGGAGGCAGCAGUAGGGAAUCUUCCGCAAUGGACGCAAGUCUGACGGAGCAACGCCGCGUGAGUGAAGAAGGUCUUCGGAUCGUAAAGCUCUGUUGUUAGAGAAGAACAGCGCAUAGAGUAACUGCUAUGCGUGUGACGGUAUCUAACCAGAAAGCCACGGCUAACUACGUG
This 501-nucleotide ribosomal RNA is filed under the name uncultured bacterium. Its description in RNAcentral is "partial 16S ribosomal RNA". It matches the Rfam family "Bacterial small subunit ribosomal RNA", at positions 29 to 507 of the family's 1533-position model. The record is from RNAcentral.